GUCUGAUUAGCUUGUUGGCGGGGUAACGGCCCACCAAGGCACGAUCAGUAGGGGUUCUGAGAGGAAGGUCCCCCACAUUGGAACUGAGACACGGUCCAAACUCCUACGGGAGGCAGCAGUGAGGAAUAUUGGUCAAUGGGCGAGAGCCUGAACCAGCCAAGUAGCGUGCAGGAUGACGGCCCUAUGGGUUGUAAACUGCUUUUAUAAGGGAAUAAAGUGAGCCUCGUGAGGCUUUUUGCAUGUACCUUAUGAAUAAGGACCGGCUAAUUCCGUGCCAGCAGCCGCGGUAAUACGGAAGGUCCGGGCGUUAUCCGGAUUUAUUGGGUUUAAAGGGAGCGUAGGCCGGAGAUUAAGCGUGUUGUGAAAUGUAGAUGCUCAACAUCUGCACUGCAGCGCGAACUGGUUUCCUUGAGUACGCACAAAGUGGGCGGAAUUCGUGGUGUAGCGGUGAAAUGCUUAGAUAUCACGAAGAACUCCGAUUGCGAAGGCAGCUCACUGGAGCGCAACUGACGCUGAAGCUCGAAAGUGCGGGUAUCGAACAGGAUUAGAUACCCUGGUAGUCCGCACGGUAAACGAUGGAUGCCCGCUGUUGGUCUGAAUAGGUCAGCGGCCAAGCGAAAGCAUUAAGCAUCCCACCUGGGGAGUAC
This 647-nucleotide ribosomal RNA is filed under the name uncultured bacterium. RNAcentral describes it as "bacterial SSU rRNA". It matches the Rfam family "Bacterial small subunit ribosomal RNA", at positions 235 to 883 of the family's 1533-position model. The record is from RNAcentral.